RNAcentral lists this ribosomal RNA (301 nucleotides) under uncultured bacterium. RNAcentral's name for it is "partial 16S ribosomal RNA". It matches the Rfam family "Bacterial small subunit ribosomal RNA", at positions 509 to 807 of the family's 1533-position model. The record is from RNAcentral.
CAGUAGCCGCGGUAAUACGUAGGGUGCAAGCGUUAAUCGGAAUUACUGGGCGUAAAGCGUGCGCAGGCGGUUUGUUAAGACAGAUGUGAAAUCCCCGGGCUCAACCUGGGAACUGCAUUUGUGACUGGCAGGCUAGAGUGUGGCAGAGGGGGGUGGAAUUCCGCGUGUAGCAGUGAAAUGCGUAGAUAUGCGGAGGAACACCGAUGGCGAAGGCAGCCCCCUGGGCCAAUACUGACGCUCAUGCACGAAAGCGUGGGGAGCAAACAGGAUUAGAUACCCCGGUAGUCCCUGUCUCUUAUAC